ACUGCUUUAGUAUAUCUAUUAUGCUAACUUUUCGUGUUAGAGAUGGUGUGCCCACACCAGGCAGCG
This 66-nucleotide transfer RNA is filed under the name Rhinebothriidae sp. DJM-2021. RNAcentral's name for it is "tRNA-Glu". Lineage: Eukaryota; Metazoa; Platyhelminthes; Cestoda; Rhinebothriidea; Rhinebothriidae. The record is from RNAcentral.